Molecule: ribosomal RNA, 427 nt
Filed under: uncultured bacterium
Lineage: Bacteria
Description: bacterial SSU rRNA
Rfam family: Bacterial small subunit ribosomal RNA
Source: RNAcentral
UGGGGAAUUUUGCGCAAUGGGGGAAACCCUGACGCAGCAACGCCGCGUGGAUGAUGAAGACCCUUGGGUUGUAAAAUCCUUUCGGCAGGGACGAAUUAAUUGACGGUACCUGAAGAAGAAGCCCCGGCUAACUCCGUGCCAGCAGCCGCGGUAAUACGGGGGGGGCGAGCGUUGUUCGGAAUUAUUGGGCGUAAAGGGCGCGUAGGCGGUGUGGUAAGUCUGUUGUGAAACCUCCAGGCUCAACUUGGAGCUUGCAUCAGAAACUGCCGUGCUAGAGUGUGGGAGAGGAGAGUGGAAUUCCUGGUGUAGCGGUGAAAUGCGUAGAUAUCAGGAGGAACACCGGUGGCGAAAGCGGCUCUCUGGACCACAACUGACGCUGAGGCGCGAAAGCUAGGGGAGCAAACAGGAUUAGAUACCCCGGUAGUCC